RNAcentral lists this long non-coding RNA (525 nucleotides) under Danio rerio (zebrafish). Its description in RNAcentral is "si:ch211-57e21.4 (ENSDARG00000092791.2)". Lineage: Eukaryota; Metazoa; Chordata; Actinopteri; Cypriniformes; Danionidae. The record is from RNAcentral.
CUUUAAUUCCACUCUGGUUGCAGCAUGUGGAGGGGGUGGCGAUUCUACCGCCGGGUUUGGCGCAAGUAAACCCGGUUUGACAGUUUGGUCAGUGAUAGUCUGGAUUGGAGGUGCGAAUUUGAUUGAUUAAUUAUGAACCCGUGAAGUUAAUUGAAGUCGCUGUCAUUCCCCUGCCUUGAAAAGCGAAGAUGGAGGUUGCAGCUGGAAUGGCAUCCGCUGUGUAAAACAUUUGCUGGAUUGGCGGUUCAUUCAUCCUGACUAUAUCAGACUGUAUCUGUCCACAAGCAAGUAUUUUUUAUAUUGUACAGUUUGUUGAAUAUUUAAUAAUAGUAUUGAAAUAAGGCAGUGGUAAACUUAUUCUGAUGUUUUGAUCUUGCCUUGCAAACCUUUUUAAGUCACGUUUUUUUAAGGAGGAAAGAAAAUUGAAGAACGCUGUAAUAUACAUAUAUAUAAAUGAUUUAACCCACUUAGUUAUUUCUGUAAAUCUUUAAAAAGUUAACUUUUGGCUCACCAAUUCCGUUUGCA